Molecule: ribosomal RNA, 457 nt
Filed under: uncultured bacterium
Lineage: Bacteria
Description: bacterial SSU rRNA
Rfam family: Bacterial small subunit ribosomal RNA
Source: RNAcentral
CUGGCGGCGUGCCUAACACAUGCAAGUCGAACGAGAAAGUGGAGCAAUCCAUGAGUAAAGUGGCGACCGGGUGAGUAACACGUGACUAACCUACCUUUCAGUGGGGAAUAACCUCGGGAAACCGGGGCUAAUACCGCAUAAUGUCUUCGGACCAAAGGAGCAAUUCGCUGGAAGAGGGGGUCGCGGCCGAUUAGCUAGUUGGUGAGGUAACGGCCCACCAAGGCAAUGAUCGGUAGCCGGCCUGAGAGGGCGCACGGCCACACUGGAACUGAAACACGGUCCAGACUCCUACGGGAGGCAGCAGUGGGGAAUUUUGCGCAAUGGGGGGAACCCUGACGCAGCAACGCCGCGUGGAGGAUGAAGCCCCUUGGGGUGUAAACUCCUUUCGAUCGGGACGAUUAUGACGGUACCGGAUGAAGAAGCACCGGCUAACUCUGUGCCAGCAGCCGCGGUAAUA